CAAGGAAUUUUCGUCAAUGGGCGCAAGCCUGAACGAGCAACGCCGCGUGGAGGAUGACGGCCUUCGGGUUGUAAACUCCUUUUUCGGGGGACGAUGAUGACGGUACCCCGGGAAUAAGGCUCGGCUAACUCUGUGCCAGCAGCCGCGGUAAUACAGAGGAGCCAAGCGUUGUCCGGAUUGACUGGGCGUAAAGCGCACGCAGGCGGUCUGGCGCGUGGGGUGUGAAAUCUGGCCGCUUAACGGCCAGGCGCCAUCCCAUACGGCCGGACUGGAGGGCUGCAGAGGUCGAUGGAAUUGCCGGUGUAGUGGUGAAAUGCGUAGAGAUCGGCAGGAACACCCAGGGGGAAACCAGUCGACUGGGCAGCACCUGACGCUGAGGUGCGAGAGCGUGGGGAGCGAACCGG
Molecule: ribosomal RNA, 404 nt
Filed under: Actinomycetes bacterium
Lineage: Bacteria; Bacillati; Actinomycetota; Actinomycetes
Description: Actinobacteria bacterium partial 16S ribosomal RNA
Rfam family: Bacterial small subunit ribosomal RNA
Source: RNAcentral